AAUUAAAUUACCACAAUGUUUUGAACAACACCAAUUAAUUUCUUUUUCAAUCGUUUUAUAAUA
Molecule: unclassified non-coding RNA, 63 nt
Filed under: soil metagenome
Description: partial internal transcribed spacer 1
Source: RNAcentral